GAUGAAGAACGUAGUGAAAUGCGAUAAGUAAUGUGAAUUGCAGAAUUCAGUGAAUCAUCGAAUCUUUGAACGCACCUUGCGCCCUUUGGCUAUUCCGAAGGGCAUGCCUGUUUGAGUAUCAUGAACACCUCAACUCUUCACGGCUUGCCGUGAUGAGUUUGGACUUUGGGGGUCUUGCUGGCCUACGAGCCAGCUCCUCUCAAAUGUAUUAGCUUGCCGGUGUUUGGUGGCAUCACAGGUGUGAUAACUAUCUACGCUUGUGGUUUUCCACUAGGUAACCUUCAGCAAUGGAGGUUCACCGGAGCUCACAAAUGUCUCUCCUUGCCAAGGACAGAUUUUGACCAUUUGAUCUCAAAUCAGGUAGGACUACCCGCUGAACUUAAGCAUAUCAAUAAGCGGAGGA
This 403-nucleotide unclassified non-coding RNA is filed under the name soil metagenome. Its description in RNAcentral is "partial contains 5.8S ribosomal RNA, internal transcribed spacer 2, and large subunit ribosomal RNA". The stretch from base 1 to 121 matches the Rfam family "5.8S ribosomal RNA", at positions 35 to 154 of the family's 154-position model. The record is from RNAcentral.